Molecule: long non-coding RNA, 228 nt
Filed under: Elaeis guineensis (African oil palm)
Lineage: Eukaryota; Viridiplantae; Streptophyta; Magnoliopsida; Arecales; Arecaceae
Description: long non-coding RNA (EGUI_LNC034604)
Source: RNAcentral
GUCCCAUGAUGGAAAAGCCUUAUAUAGUUUGAAAAAAAAAUAGUGCUGCCUAUUGGAUGACUUUGUAUAUAGGGAACCAUGCUUGAUCUACUCUUUGGGCAUCUCCGGCUAAUCUUCCUUUUCAGUUUAGUUGUGAAAGCUGGCGUAAUUGGGCCUGCUCUAGACCAAAGUCAGCAGGCUCAGUUGACUUCAUCCAAAAAUUGAGAAAAAAGAAAACAAAAGGGGAGC